Molecule: ribosomal RNA, 253 nt
Filed under: uncultured bacterium
Lineage: Bacteria
Description: partial 16S ribosomal RNA
Rfam family: Bacterial small subunit ribosomal RNA
Source: RNAcentral
UACGGGGGGAGCAAGCGUUGUUCGGAUUUACUGGGCGUAAAGGGCGCGUAGGCGGCCUGAUCAGUCGGGGGUGAAAGCCUGUGGCUCAACCACAGAAUGGCCUUCGAUACUGUCGGGCUUGAGACCGGAAGAGGUAAGUGGAACUGCGAGUGUAGAGGUGAAAUUCGUAGAUAUUCGCAAGAACACCAGUGGCGAAGGCGGCUUACUGGUCCGGAUCUGACGCUGAGGCGCGAAAGCGUGGGGAGCAAACAGG